Molecule: non-coding RNA, 2348 nt
Organism: Elaeis guineensis (African oil palm)
Lineage: Eukaryota; Viridiplantae; Streptophyta; Magnoliopsida; Arecales; Arecaceae
Source: RefSeq, a predicted model, not a curated record
GUCAGCGAAGAGGUUGGUUUUGGUUGACGAGGAGGACGGGAAGGGGGGAGGGGAGGAGAGAGUGUCUGAUCAGUCGAAGGAGGUAGUGGUUGUCGAAGAAGAGGAAAAAAGAGGAAGAGGCCGAGGGAAGCGGGUAGAGGAAGGGGUAAAGGAGGAGGUCCGGGGGAAGGAGAUGAUGGCGGACGAUAGCGGUGGAUUGAGUGCCAAUCGGGUUGCAGCGCAGGAAGAGGAAGGGAGCACCGCUCCUUUUCCAGAAAGGGUCCAGGUAGGAGGGUCUCCUGUUUAUAAGAUCGAGAGGAAGUUGGGCAAAGGUGGGUUUGGACAGGUUUUUGUCGGUCGCCGUGUUUGUGGAGGCAGUGAACGUACAACAGGUGCUGGAGCACUAGAGCAGGUGGCUAUAAAAUUUGAGCAUAGGAGCAGCAAAGGCUGUAACUAUGGGCCUCCAUAUGAAUGGCAAGUUUACAGUGCUCUUGGAGGCAGCCAUGGAGUACCCAAGGUGCAUUAUAAAGGGCGGCAGGGAGACUACUAUGUGAUGAUUAUGGAUAUGCUGGGACCUAGUUUAUGGGAUGCAUGGAAUUCAUCAGGUCAAGCCAUGUCAUCUGAAAUGGUAGCUUGCAUUGCUGUUGAGUCCAUAUCAAUUCUUGAGAAGAUGCAUUCUAAAGGAUAUGUCCAUGGAGAUGUAAAGCCUGAGAAUUUUCUACUUGGCCAGCCAUCGACACCUCAAGAGAAGAAGUUGUAUCUUGUUGACCUUGGAUUAGCGACGAGAUGGAAAGAUUCUGCCAACGGACAACAUGUUGAGUAUGAUCAGCGCCCAGAUGUGUUCAGAGGAACUGUCCGAUAUGCAAGCGUGCAUGCACACUUAGGAAGAACUGCAAGUAGGAGAGACGAUCUGGAGUCUCUUGGAUACACGCUUAUUUUUCUACACCGAGGCAGGUUACCAUGGCAGGGAUACCAGGGUGAUAACAAGUCAUUUUUAGUUUGCAAGAAAAAGAUGGCGACAUCUCCUGAGAUGCUCUGUUGUUUCUGUUCAGCACCUUUUAAGCAGUUUCUUGAGAUUGUAGUGAACAUGAAGUUCGAUGAGGAGCCCAACUACUCGAAAUUAAUAUCACUGUUUGAUGGGUUAAUUGGACCAAAUCCAGCAAUCCGGCCCAUAAAUACUGAUGGUGCUCAGAAGGUUGGCCAAAAACGGGGCAGACUGACUCUUGAUGAAGAAGAUGAAGCUCAUUUAAAGAAGAAGAUCCGUUUAGGAGUUCCUGCCACCCAGUGGAUUUCAGUAUAUAAUGCCAGGCUUCCUAUGAAACAGAGGUAUCAUUAUAAUGUGGCUGAUUCACGGUUGGCACAACAUGUGGAGAGAGGAAAUGAAGAUGGUCUGCUUAUAAGCUGUGUUGCAUCGUGCUCCAAUUUGUGGGCGCUUAUUAUGGAUGCAGGAACUGGUUUCACAUCUCAGGUUUAUGAAUUGUCCCCUUUGUUCCUUCACAAGACCUUCUGCUGCAGGAAUGGAUUAUGGAACAGUGGGAGAAAAACUACUAUAUCAGCUCUAUAGCUGGUGCUAACAAUGGAAGUUCUCUUGUAGUGAUGUCUAAAGGCACGCCAUAUACACAGCAGUCUUACAAGGUUAGUGAAUCUUUCCCCUUCAAAUGGAUAAACAAAAAGUGGAAAGAAGGAUUUCAUGUCACGUCGAUGGCAACUUCUGGAAGCCGAUGGGGAAUUGUCAUGUCCCGGAAUGCUGGCUUUAGUGAUCAGGUUGUUGAAUUAGAUUUUCUCUAUCCAAGCGAGGGAAUCCACAGGCGUUGGGAUAAUGGCUAUCGCAUCACUUCAAUGGCUGCCACUUGGGAUCAGGCUGCCCUUAUUCUAAGCGUGCCCAAGCGCAAGCCUGGUGAUGAGACUCAGGAGACCCUUCGAACCUCGGCAUUCCCAAGUGCUCAUGUUAAGGAUAAAUGGGCCAAGAAUCUUUAUCUUGCUUCUGUGUGCUAUGGACGCACCGUGUCAUGACAUUUAUGCCAACCUUCAUUUCAGUUCUGGGUUCUGGGAGCAGGGUUUUCCGGCGUGAGUUACAUUUCGCAUGUACAUGCAUCAAUGCCCGAACUAGAGAAACCAAGCCAUGCAGCCUUAUUUUAUUUACUGUUCUCCUUUUGAUUGUAGAUUUUUCAUCCAGUGAAAUUAACUGCGGAGGACUGAGAUUCCGUUGUAUAAUGUAUGCUUAUAUAUACACCAUGAAAAGGCCCAACUCUGAAGGCCCGAUGCAUGUAAGAAGCAAACUCUGCACUGAAACACCAUUCAAACAGUGUUAGGAGCACGCUAUCCAUGGUUAGCAAAGUUCAUUUAAGAGUUUGAAUGAUCGAACAAAA